GACGAACGCUGGCGGCGUGCUUAACACAUGCAAGUCGAACGGAAAGGCCCUGCUUUUGUGGGGUGCUCGAGUGGCGAACGGGUGAGUAACACGUGAGUAACCUGCCCUUGACUUUGGGAUAACUUCAGGAAACUGGGGCUAAUACCGGAUAGGAGCUCCUGCUGCAUGGUGGGGGUUGGAAAGAUUCGGCGGUUGGGGAUGGGCUCGCGGCUUAUCAGCUUGUUGGUGGGGUAGUGGCUUACCAAGGCUUUGACGGGUAGCCGGCCUGAGAGGGUGACCGGCCACAUUGGGACUGAGAUACGGCCCAGACUCCUACGGGAGGCAGCAGUGGGGAAUAUUGCACAAUGGGCGGAAGCCUGAUGCAGCAACGCCGCGUGCGGGAUGACGGCCUUCGGGUUGUAAACCGCUUUCGCCUGUGACGAAGCGUGAGUGACGGUAAUGGGUAAAGAAGCACCGGCUAACUACGUG
Molecule: ribosomal RNA, 468 nt
Filed under: uncultured bacterium
Lineage: Bacteria
Description: partial 16S ribosomal RNA
Rfam family: Bacterial small subunit ribosomal RNA
Source: RNAcentral